AUUUCUAUGGUGUAAAACACAUUACAUUUUCAAUGUAAAGCUGACUAAAGUCUAGAAAUC
This 60-nucleotide transfer RNA is filed under the name Sphaerotheriidae sp. HYS-2012. RNAcentral's name for it is "tRNA-Glu". It matches the Rfam family "tRNA". From Rfam's summary of the family: Transfer RNA (tRNA) molecules are approximately 80 nucleotides in length. Their secondary structure includes four short double-helical elements and three loops (D, anti-codon, and T loops). Further hydrogen bonds mediate the characteristic L-shaped molecular structure. tRNAs have two regions of fundamental functional importance: the anti-codon, which is responsible for specific mRNA codon recognition, and the 3' end, to which the tRNAs corresponding amino acid is attached (by aminoacyl-tRNA synthetases). tRNAs cope with the degeneracy of the genetic code in two manners: having more than one tRNA (with a specific anti-codon) for a particular amino acid; and 'wobble' base-pairing, i.e. permitting non-standard base-pairing at the 3rd anti-codon position. Lineage: Eukaryota; Metazoa; Arthropoda; Diplopoda; Sphaerotheriida; Sphaerotheriidae. The record is from RNAcentral.